This 318-nucleotide ribosomal RNA is filed under the name Triticum aestivum (bread wheat). Its description in RNAcentral is "partial small subunit ribosomal RNA". The record is from RNAcentral. Lineage: Eukaryota; Viridiplantae; Streptophyta; Magnoliopsida; Poales; Poaceae.
AUGGAACCAGUUGCAUCUUGUGGCAUGUUCAUUCGUUCAGUAUUAUUCGGUGAUCUGAAUGUGAAUCGAGCGUAUGGAACUGCAAUGUUCACAUUGAUUCAUAACAUAUUUGUUGAUAAUCUAGAUGGUCAGAAGUAUGUUUCGUCAAAGAUACGGGACCUAUCUACUUCUGUGGACUUUGAUACUCUCAGUUCAUCUUCAUCAGACCUCUGGUGCUUUUAUGAUAGUAUUGGUAGAAUUACCAGUUUACAAGUAAUCUACUGUAUUCGGAUACAUGUCAAUGGCGAUCUGACAUCAUCAGGAGAGUUGUUGACAUAG